Non-coding RNA from Myotis lucifugus (little brown bat), 75 nucleotides. The record is from Rfam. Lineage: Eukaryota; Metazoa; Chordata; Mammalia; Chiroptera; Vespertilionidae.
GGCGUUUCUCAGGUGACGCACCCCGGAAUCGGGCUCCCUCCUCUCUGGUUCUGGAUGCAUCACCCAAGAACCGCA